GGGCCAGUAAAUCGCAGCAAGUUGACGCACUAGGGGCGUAGGCGGUGCAUCUCUGCCAGUCGUCUCGGUCAACUCACAGCACCUGGGUCUGUACCGUGAUCUCCUGCCAGCAGCAGCGAGCCUCUGACACUUCAGCUCGCGGUUGGCGGUGGAGCUGCGGCCCUUGGUGCGGAACCUCGGCUCAAACUUCUUGGGAGCUUUUGGGUCGAAACCCUGCACAGAUAAGCACACGGGGCCAGACGGCGGUGGCACUCAGGGCGCGCGCGUGCUCGUGUCAGGCGCGAGGCGUCGCUCCCACGGGAGCCGAGCGCGUGUUGGAGGAGGGAGAUGCCCCGGGGUGCACACGCGCACCGGUUGAGUUCCCUGCAGCGCAUGCCAAGAUCUUCAAGUGCCGGAGAAAGCCGUUCUAAACGAGAAGUCAAUCCAGCCGAGAUCCGUCACGGGAACCCCCUCGGAAUGGAUAAAUCGCAGCCGGCGAACCGGGGAAAUAGAGAGAGCUCUUUGCUGUGCAUAUUAUUAGCGGGCAGGCAUGUCUAGUGUUGGCAUGGUGGUUGGCUCGAGUUUUCCUGCUCGCAAUCCACGUCAGCCUGAUGAUGAGGCACCAUCGCGCCGCGCUUUUAAGUGUGGGAGGAAUGCAUGCGCGUACACACACACGCACGCACACGCACACACCGAGAACACUUAAACAUUAUCUGCGACACAACUCAAUAAUUCAUUAAAAAGCGCGGCUUUUGGGAUCUUUAAAAGGUUUUAGAGAACGAAGUAAAAUACCAAAAAUACACGCAGUGGCGGGGCGAUGGCAGCGGCCACCACCGCUAAGAGUGUACCUUUCAAUUUUUAACGCAAAGUUUUAGUCGUGGGGUUUUUUUUCUUUGCGUCGCACUAAUAAAACAAAAAAAAGCGCAACAGCGAAAAGACCACGGCAAAAUCACUGCAGUGGGGGCCACAACACAUGCAUUUUUCACGCGCCCUGGUAUUAAUAUUAAUACUAAUAGCAAGCAUGCAGGUUUCCGUGGCCUGGGAUAUUCCUCGGAGGACGCGUCUCACGAGGAAACCCACUCGAUCGCAGCAUUGGCGCGACUCUUUCCAAAAAAAUAAAAUAAAAGCAUGGAUUAAAAAAAAAACACCACCCGUAACCGCAAAAAGGUAUUUACAAGAAUAGCUCUUUAUUAAUUGAUGCGGUAAGGGGGGUGCGACUGCGAGGUGCAGCGAGGGAAAUGCAGCGUGCCGCGAUUCGCUUUAAUAAAACAUGGGCCCAGAA
This is a long non-coding RNA of Lethenteron reissneri (Far Eastern brook lamprey), 1261 nucleotides long. RefSeq lists it as uncharacterized. NCBI's taxonomy places the organism in Eukaryota, Metazoa, Chordata, Hyperoartia, Petromyzontiformes, Petromyzontidae. The record is from RefSeq and is a predicted model, not a curated record.